Molecule: ribosomal RNA, 253 nt
Filed under: uncultured bacterium
Lineage: Bacteria
Description: partial 16S ribosomal RNA
Rfam family: Bacterial small subunit ribosomal RNA
Source: RNAcentral
UACGGGGGGAGCAAGCGUUGUUCGGAUUUACUGGGCGUAAAGGGCGCGUAGGCGGCGCAACAAGUCACUUGUGAAAUCUCCGGGCUUAACCCGGAGCGGCCAAGUGAUACUGUCGGGCUAGAGUGCGGAAGGGGCUACUGGAAUUCUCGGUGUAGCGGUGAAAUGCGUAGAUAUCGAGAGGAACACCUGCGGCGAAGGCGGGUAGCUGGGCCGACACUGACGCUGAGGCGCGAAAGCCAGGGGAGCGAACGGG